Molecule: ribosomal RNA, 514 nt
Filed under: uncultured bacterium
Lineage: Bacteria
Description: bacterial SSU rRNA
Rfam family: Bacterial small subunit ribosomal RNA
Source: RNAcentral
CUGGCUCAGGACGAACGCUGGCGGCGUGCUUAACACAUGCAAGUCGAACGGAGAUCAGCAAUGGAUCUUAGUGGCGAACGGGUGAGUAACGCGUAGGCAAUCUGCCUUCUAGAUGGGGACAACAUCCCGAAAGGGGUGCUAAUACCGAAUGUUGUAACGACUUCGCAUGAAGUUGCUACUAAAGGUGGCCUCUGAAUAUGCUACCGCUAGAAGAUGAGCCUGCGUCUGAUUAGCUAGUUGGAGGGUAACGGCCCACCAAGGCUUCGAUCAGUAGCCGGUCUGAGAGGAUGAACGGCCACACUGGGACUGAGACACGGCCCAGACUCCUACGGGAGGCAGCAGUGGGGAAUCUUCCGCAAUGGACGAAAGUCUGACGGAGCAACGCCGCGUGAGUGAAGAAGGUUUUCGGAUCGUAAAGCUCUUUCGUUAGGGACGAACGUGCUCUUUGUGAAUAAUGAGGAGUAAUGACGGUACCUAAAUAAGAAGCCACGGCUAACUACGUGCCAGCCGCCGC